This 440-nucleotide ribosomal RNA is filed under the name uncultured bacterium. RNAcentral's name for it is "partial 16S ribosomal RNA". It matches the Rfam family "Bacterial small subunit ribosomal RNA", at positions 338 to 795 of the family's 1533-position model. The record is from RNAcentral.
CCUACGGGUGGCAGCAGUGGGGAAUAUUGCACAAUGGGGGAAACCCUGAUGCAGCGACGCCGCGUGAAGGAAGAAGGAUUUCGGUAUGUAAACUUCUAUCAGCAGGGAAGAAAAUGACGGUACCUGACUAAGAAGCCCCGGCUAACUACGUGCCAGCAGCCGCGGUAAUACGUAGGGGGCAAGCGUUAUCCGGAUUUAGUGGGGGUAAAGGGGGCGUAGGCGGUUUAGCAAGUCAGAAGUGAAAGCCCGGGGCGCAAAUCCGGGACGGCUUUUGAAACUGUUGAACUAGAUUGCGGGAGAGGUAAGUGGAAUUCCUAGUGUAGCGGUGAAAUGCGUAGAUAUUAGGAGGAACACCAGUGGCGAAGGCGGCUUACUGGACUGUAAAUGACGCUGAGGCUCGAAAGCGUGGGGAGCAAACAGGAUUAGAUACCCCUGUAGUC